AGAGUUUGAUCAUGGCUCAGGACGAACGCUGGCGGCACGCUUAACACAUGCAAGUCGAACGAGAUCCAUGGAGCUUGCUCCGGAAGAUCUAGUGGCGAACGGGUGCGUAACACGUGAGAAACCUGCCCUAAACUUGGGAAUAACAGUCGGAAACGACUGCUAAUACCGAAUAUCUUCACGACGUCGCAUGGCGAUGUGAAGAAAGCUUUAUGCGGUUUAGGAGGGUCUCGCGGCCUAUCAGCUAGUUGGUGAGGUAACGGCUCACCAAGGCAUCGACGGGUAGCUGGUCUGAGAGGAUGAUCAGCCACACUGGGACUGAGACACGGCCCAGACUCCUACGGGAGGCAGCAGUGGGGAAUAUUGCACAAUGGGCGCAAGCCUGAUGCAGCGAUGCCGCGUGCGGGAUGAAGGCCCUAGGGUUGUAAACCGCUUUCAGCAGGGAAGAAAAUGACGGUACCUGCAGAAGAAGGUGCGGCCAACUACGUGCCAGCAGCCGCGGUGACACGUAGGCACCAAGCGUUGUCCGGAUUUAUUGGGCGUAAAGAGCUCGUAGGCGGUUCAGUUAGUCGGGUGUGAAAACUCUGGGCUCAACCCAGAGACGCCACCCGAUACUGCUGUGACUAGAGUACGGUAGGGGAGUGGGGAAUUCCUGGUGUAGCGGUGAAAUGCGCAGAUAUCAGGAGGAACACCAGUGGCGAAGGCGCCACUCUGGGCCGUAACUGACGCUGAGGAGCGAAAGCAUGGGUAGCAAACAGGAUUAGAUACCCUGGUAGUCCAUGCCGUAAACGUUGGGCACUAGGUGUGGGUCUCAACCAACGAGAUCCGCGCCGUCGCUAACGCAUUAAGUGCCCCGCCUGGGGAGUACGGUCGCAAGACUAAAACUUAAAGGAAUUGACGG
Molecule: ribosomal RNA, 898 nt
Filed under: uncultured bacterium
Lineage: Bacteria
Description: bacterial SSU rRNA
Rfam family: Bacterial small subunit ribosomal RNA
Source: RNAcentral